Molecule: RNA transcript, 2203 nt
Organism: Fragaria vesca subsp. vesca
Lineage: Eukaryota; Viridiplantae; Streptophyta; Magnoliopsida; Rosales; Rosaceae
Gene name: probable Ufm1-specific protease-like
Exons: 15
Source: RefSeq, a predicted model, not a curated record
CGCAAAUACAGCAGUGAAAUGGCGAAGACUGGGCAAAGCUCUCUCAGAGUGAGAAGAAUGGAGGAGAAGGCAAGCGUCCGUGUUCUAAUCCCCAAGCUCAUUCUCCAAAAGAACGACGAACCCGCCGGCCUCCGAUGGCUGAUCGGAUCCUCAUUUUUACCGCCACUCACUGUCGUCUCCGCACUCAAAUGCAUCCACACCGAUUCCUCCUCCUCCUCAUCUUCAGACUACUCCAGAGAAUCAGAAGAGCUUUGGACGUUACUGCCGAAAGGAUUCCACGUCAUCGGAGCUUUAGUUGUGGCCGAUUCCGACGAAGAGAAGCGCGGCGGCGAGGCCGUUGCGGCGGCGAGAAGGUUACGGAAGCUAAUGUGCGGCGGAAGUGAGAGAAUGGAUGAGCAGGGAGUAAUUGGAGCCGUUGCGGAGUCUAGAGGUGGAGGUAUUGGGUUUUACUUGUCGAAAUCGGAGAGUUGUGAGAGGUUUGAGUGUGUUGAUGUGGUGUAUGAUGAUGAUCCGGAGAGGUUUGUUUGGGAGAGGGGUUGUUUGAUUCGGUGUGAGCUUCCUUUGAAGCUGCCGAUUUACUAUCCAGUAAAUAAGCCUUCUGAUACCGAACAGAUCAUGCAACGUGCAAUUGAAGCAGUUGUUGCCAAGUUCAAAGAUCCAAAGGCUGCAUACCUGGUGGAAACUUUAAGCAAAAAUUCAUCUGAAGUACCUCAGCCUGUCAUCAUUCGUGGUGGAGAUUUGGAUUUUGACAUGGAUCUAUCAGAUGUCAAACUUUUGGGUGAAAGCGGCCAUGAUUCUGAUGCUAAGUUCUUGCCAUGUUCUCAUUUUUGUUUGGAGAGUGAAAAAGACUCCCGCGAGUAUUCUGCUGAGAAUGCAGAUAUGAUCCAAGUAAAUAUUCUGCUUAAUAGUUCAGAGAAGUCUCAAAAAUCCACUGCACCUGUGGCAGAAUAUUUUCCAUCUCUGGAAGAAGUUAGAAUGUUGGUUGUAGAUUUCAAGCUAGAAGUGCUCUGUUAUGCAGCCAAAGGUCUCCCACUGAUGCAUGCAGUUUCAAAUUUAGUCAUCCCAGGGUUAAUUGAUCAGUUAAAUAUAGAAGGGAAAAUUAUCCUGCCCAACCUAUUAGUGCAACGUCCUCAGCUACAUCCCUAUCACUUUAAUCCUCCUGGUGUUCUGCAUCCUAUUACCGUUAUUUAUGAAUUCAACUAUGGUGAAACAGAAAUGAAGCAAGUUGAAGUUAGGAAAUCCCUACACGUAAGGCUGGGUUUACCUUGUGAUCGUCCUCUUUUAAGAAUUGCCAAUGCUCUGGAUUUCUCUGGUCUAAGGAAUGACCCAAUACGAAAAGGAACUACUUUGCUCAAGGAUGUACACAUUGGGAUUCCAAGCAGUUGAGUUUCAGGGGGCAGUGUGUCUCUGGUGCAAGGUUCUUAUGAGUACUACCAUUAUCUACAAGAUGGAUUUAAUGAUUCGGGCUGGGGCUGUGCUUACCGCGCGUUUUUUAAAACACUGCUUCAAACGAUCAUUUCAUGGUUCAGACUCCAACACUAUACAUCUAUAGAUGUUCCGUUGCAUAGGGAAAUACAGCAGUCGCUGGUAGAGAUUGGCGAUAAGGAUCCUUCUUUCAUUGGUUCACGUGAAUGGAUUGGUGCCAUUGAGUUGAGCUUUGUUCUGGACAAGCUUUUGGGAGUCAGUUGCAAAGUCAUGAAUUUUAGAUCUGGAGCUGAGGUUCCUGAAAAAUGUCGAGAGCUGGCCUUGCACUUUGAGAAUCAAGGAACACCUAUCAUGAUUGGUGGAGGAGUUCUUGUAUAUACUCUCUUGGGAGUUGAUUACAAUGAUGCAAGCAGAGACUGCUUUUCUUAUACUUGAUCCUCACUAUACAGGCAACGAUGAACACAAGAAAAUAGUGAACGGUGGAUGGUGUGGGUGGAAAAAGGCUAUUGAUAGCAAGGGAAAGAGUUUCUUCUUGCAUGAUAAGUUCUACAAUCUUUUGCUUUUUCCAAGCAUGUUCACCGAGGAGAACUUGUUUCUUACCAAUGUCUUUCCAUGUGAAAAAGUACCCGUUGAUGCAGUCUCAAGCAACGAGCGUGUUAUCAGAAUACUGCACUUCAAGAUGACCGGAACAUGCAGGGGUGAUGAUAAUAUUGAGUAUACUGAUAUAUGCACUCUAGCAGAUCAUCAACUUAUUGUCCCUGAAUUCGUGCUUUUAUGA